Molecule: ribosomal RNA, 464 nt
Filed under: uncultured bacterium
Lineage: Bacteria
Description: bacterial SSU rRNA
Rfam family: Bacterial small subunit ribosomal RNA
Source: RNAcentral
GAUGAACGCUGGCGGAGUGCCUAACACAUGCAAGUCGAGCGGCAGCGCGAGUAGUUUACUACUUGGCGGCGAGCGGCGGACGGCUGAGUAACGCGUGGGAACAUGCCCCAAAGUGAGGAAUAACUGCCCGAAAGGGUAGCUAAUGCCGCAUACGAUCUUCGGAUUAAAGGAUUUAUCCGCUUUGGGAGUGGCCUGCGUACGAUUAGAUAGUUGGCGAGGUAAUGGCUCACCAAGUCUACGAUCGUUAACUGGUUUGAGAGGAUGAUCAGUCAGACUGGAACUGAGACACGGUCCAGACUCCUACGGGAGGCAGCAGUGAGGAAUCUUCCACAAUGGACGAAAGUCUGAUGGAGCAACUCCGCGUGCAGGAUGAAGGCCUUCGGGUCGUAAACUGCUUUAUGAGUGAAGAAUAUGACGGUAACUCAUGAAUAAGGGUCGGCUAACUACGUGCCAGCAGCCGCGGU